Molecule: ribosomal RNA, 272 nt
Filed under: uncultured bacterium
Lineage: Bacteria
Description: partial 16S ribosomal RNA
Rfam family: Bacterial small subunit ribosomal RNA
Source: RNAcentral
UACGGAGGGGGCUAGCGUUGUUCGGAAUUACUGGGCGUAAAGGGCGCGCAGGCGGCUGCUCAAGUCAGGCGUGAAAGGCCUGGGCUCAACCCGGGAAUUGCGCUUGAGACUGGGCUGGCUUGAGUGCGGGAGAGGAUGGUGGAAUUCCCAGUGUAGAGGUGAAAUUCGUAGAUAUUGGGAAGAACACCGGUGGCGAAGGCGGCCAUCUGGACCGCAACUGACGCUGAGGCGCGAAAGCGUGGGGAGCAAACAGGAUUAGAAACCCGUGUAGU